AGGACGAACGCUGGCGGCGUGCUUAACACAUGCAAGUCGAACGGAAAGGCCUGCAGCUUGCUGCGGGUACUCGAGUGGCGAACGGGUGAGUAACACGUGGGUGAUCUGCCUUGCACUUCGGGAUAAGCUUGGGAAACUGGGUCUAAUACCGGAUAGGACAGCUGUUUAGUGUCAGUUGUGGAAAGUUUUUUCGGUGCAAGAUGAGCUCGCGGCCUAUCAGCUUGUUGGUGGGGUAAUGGCCUACCAAGGCGUCGACGGGUAGCCGGCCUGAGAGGGUGUACGGCCACAUUGGGACUGAGAUACGGCCCAGACUCCUACGGGAGGCAGCGAUGGGGAAUAUUGCACAAUGGGCGGAAGCCUGAUGCAGCGACGCCGCGUGGGGGAUGAAGGCCUUCGGGUUGUAAACUCCUUUCGACAGGGACGAAGCGUAAGUGACGGUACCUGUAUAAGAAGCACAGGCUAACUACGUGCCAGCAGCCGCGGUAAUACGUAGGGUGCGAGCGUUGUCCGGAAUUACUGGGCGUAAAGAGCUCGUAGGUGGUUUGUCGCGUCGUCUGUGAAAUUCCGGGGCUUAACUCCGGGCGUGCAGGCGAUACGGGCUGACUUGAGUGCUGUAGGGGAGACUGGAAUUCCUGGUGUAGCGGUGAAAUGCGCAGAUAUCAGGAGGAACACCGAUGGCGAAGGCAGGUCUCUGGGCAGUAACUGACGCUGAGGAGCGAAAGCAUGGGUAGCGAACAGGAUUAGAUACCCUGGUAGUCCAUGCCGUAAACGGUGGGCGCUAGGUGUAGGGGGCUUCCACGUCUUCUGUGCCGUAGCUAACGCAUUAAGCGCCCCGCCUGGGGAGUACGGCCGCAAGGCUA
RNAcentral lists this ribosomal RNA (860 nucleotides) under uncultured Actinomycetes bacterium. Its description in RNAcentral is "bacterial SSU rRNA". It matches the Rfam family "Bacterial small subunit ribosomal RNA", at positions 26 to 896 of the family's 1533-position model. Lineage: Bacteria; Bacillati; Actinomycetota; Actinomycetes. The record is from RNAcentral.